Molecule: ribosomal RNA, 613 nt
Filed under: Campylobacter sp. S4p by
Lineage: Bacteria; Pseudomonadati; Campylobacterota; Epsilonproteobacteria; Campylobacterales; Campylobacteraceae
Description: bacterial SSU rRNA
Rfam family: Bacterial small subunit ribosomal RNA
Source: RNAcentral
UGCAGUCGAACGAUGAAGCUUCUAGCUUGCUAGAAGUGGAUUAGUGGCGCACGGGUGAGUAAGGUAUAGUUAAUCUGCCCUACACAAGAGGACAACAGUUGGAAACGACUGCUAAUACUCUAUACUCCUGCUUAACACAAGUUGAGUAGGGAAAGUUUUUCGGUGUAGGAUGAAAACUUAUAGGAUCAGCUAGUUGGUAAGGUAAUGGCUUACCAAGGGGAUGACACUUAUAUGUGGUCUGAGAGGAUGAUCAGUCACACUGGAACUGAGACACGGUCCAGACUCCUACGGGAGGCAGCAGUAGGGAAUAUUGCGCAAUGGGGGAAACCCUGACGCAGCAACGCCGCGUGGAGGAUGACACUUUUCGGAGCGUAAACUCCUUUUCUUAGGGAAGAAUUCUGACGGUACCUAAGGAAUAAGCACCGGCUAACUCCGUGCCAGCAGCCGCGGUAAUACGGAGGGUGCAAGCGUUACUCGGAAUCACUGGGCGUAAAGGGCGCGUAGGCGGAUUAUCAAGUCUCUUGUGAAAUCUAAUGGCUUAACCAUUAAACUGCUUGGGAAACUGAUAGUCUAGAGUGAGGGAGAGGCAGAUGGAAUUGGUGGUGUAGGGGGU